This 495-nucleotide ribosomal RNA is filed under the name uncultured bacterium. RNAcentral describes it as "partial 16S ribosomal RNA". It matches the Rfam family "Bacterial small subunit ribosomal RNA", at positions 28 to 507 of the family's 1533-position model. The record is from RNAcentral.
GACGAACGCUGGCGGCGUGCCUAAUACAUGCAAGUAGAACGCUGAAGGAGGAGCUUGCUUCUCUGGAUGAGUUGCGAACGGGUGAGUAACGCGUAGGUAACCUGCCUGGUAGCGGGGGAUAACUAUUGGAAACGAUAGCUAAUACCGCAUAAUAGUAGAUGUUGCAUGACAUUUGCUUAAAAGGUGCAAUUGCAUCACUACCAGAUGGACCUGCGUUGUAUUAGCUAGUUGGUGAGGUAACGGCUCACCAAGGCGACGAUACAUAGCCGACCUGAGAGGGGGGUCGGCCACACUGGGACUGAGACACGGCCCAGACUCCUACGGGAGGCAGCAGUAGGGAAUCUUCGGCAAUGGACGGAAGUCUGACCGAGCAACGCCGCGUGAGUGAAGAAGGUUUUCGGAUCGUAAAGCUCUGUUGUAAGAGAAGAACGAGUGUGAGAGUGGAAAGUUCACACUGUGACGGUAUCUUACCAGAAAGGGACGGCUAACUACGUG